Long non-coding RNA from Biomphalaria glabrata, 223 nucleotides. RefSeq lists it as uncharacterized. Lineage: Eukaryota; Metazoa; Mollusca; Gastropoda; Planorbidae. The transcript is spliced from 2 exons. The record is from RefSeq and is a predicted model, not a curated record.
UGUGUGUGUAUGUGUACGUGUGUGUGUGUGUAGGUAUGUAUGUGUGUGUAUGUGUGUACCUAUGUAUGUACGUACCUACGCAGGUACAUAAAAGAUGGAGACAUUAUUCAGAUAGGGUCUUGGUGGUUAACUAGAGGCCAUGAUUGAGCUAUAAGUUUGUUUUAGUAUCCAGAAUGUGUAGACUCCAAUCUAUUUCCUAACUACACCUGUGACCUAAGUCCUC